Molecule: ribosomal RNA, 447 nt
Filed under: uncultured bacterium
Lineage: Bacteria
Description: bacterial SSU rRNA
Rfam family: Bacterial small subunit ribosomal RNA
Source: RNAcentral
UGGGGAAUCUUGGACAAUGGGCGCAAGCCUGAUCCAGCCAUGCCGCGUGAGUGAUGAAGGCCUUAGGGUUGUAAAACUCUUUCGCCGAGGACGAUAAUGACGGUACUCGGAGAAGAAGCUCCGGCUAACUUCGUGCCAGCAGCCGCGGUAAUACGAAGGGGGCUAGCGUUGUUCGGAUUUACUGGGCGUAAAGCGCGUGUAGGCGGGUCGUUAAGUUGGGGGUGAAAUCCCGAGGCUCAACCUCGGAACUGCCUCCAAAACUGGCGACCUGGAGCAGAUGAGAGGCGAGUGGAAUUCCGAGUGUAGAGGUGAAAUUCGUAGAUAUUAGGAAGAACACCGGUGGCGAAGGCGGCCCACUGGAUCGGUACUGACGCUGAGGUGCGAAAGCGUGGGGAGCAAACAGGAUUAGAUACCCUUGUAGUCCCUGAGCGGGCUGGCAAGGCGCAU